AAGACGGUUUCAUUUCAGCUGAAUAAAGAUUGUACAUGUUUGGUAUACAACGUGAAAGCUGAAGUGUGUGUGAGUGUGUUUGUGUGUGAGUGUGUGUGUGUGUGUGUGUGUGAGUGUGUGUGUGUGUGUGAGUGUGUGUGUGUGUGUGUGUGUGAGUGUGAGUGUGUGUGUGAGUGUGUGUGUGAGUGUGUGUGUGUGUGUGUGUGAUGGAGGUUUUUGUAUGACGGUUUCAUUAGAAUGAAUCACUGUGGAGAACGUUCGGUGGAGGCACCAAAUUCGUUGUGAAAACCGGCCCCGCGCUGAAGCCGUCCGUGUCUCUGCUCCCCCCGUCCCCCCUGCAGCUGUCUGAGGGAUCGGCCUCGCUGCUCUGCCUGCUGUCUGGUUACUCUCCACAGGGGGCGCUCGUCAGCUGGACGGUGGACGGCUCCGGAACAGAUGACAAAGCUCUGACCAGCGCGGAGGAAGAGAAGAACGGCCGCUACAGCCGGGGCAGCACCCUGACCCUCAGCAAAGCACUGUGGGAGAAGGGCCAGGAGUUCAGGUGUACGGUCACCCAUGAUGGCUCCAAACAUUCGGCCGUGUUUGAGAAGAGCCAGUGUGUAGCCUAGCAGAUCCAGGAUGGUGUUAAGACAUCUAGACUAGAGCUGAUAUUUCUGUCGUUACUCUGUUUUUCCUCUGCUUCUGUUCUACUGAAAUAAAGCUGAACGUUGAAGAUC
Long non-coding RNA from Trichomycterus rosablanca, 716 nucleotides. RefSeq lists it as uncharacterized. The record is from RefSeq and is a predicted model, not a curated record. The transcript has 2 exons. Lineage: Eukaryota; Metazoa; Chordata; Actinopteri; Siluriformes; Trichomycteridae.